RNAcentral lists this ribosomal RNA (459 nucleotides) under uncultured bacterium. RNAcentral's name for it is "bacterial SSU rRNA". It matches the Rfam family "Bacterial small subunit ribosomal RNA", at positions 58 to 507 of the family's 1533-position model. The record is from RNAcentral.
CAAGGUCGAGGGGCAGCGGAUUGAAGCUUGCUUCAAUGCCGGCGACCGGCGCACGGGUGAGUAACGCGUAUCCAACCUUCCGUACACUCAGGGAUAGCCUUUCGAAAGAAAGAUUAAUACCUGAUGGUAUGAUGAGAUCGCAUGGUAUCAUCAUUAAAGAUUUAUCGGUGUACGAUGGGGAUGCGUUCCAUUAGGUAGUAGGCGGGGUAACGGCCCACCUAGCCUACGAUGGAUAGGGGUUCUGAGAGGAAGGUCCCCCACAUUGGAACUGAGACACGGUCCAAACUCCUACGGGAGGCAGCAGUGAGGAAUAUUGGUCAAUGGACGAGAGUCUGAACCAGCCAAGUAGCGUGAAGGAUGAAGGUCCUACGGAUUGUAAACUUCUUUUAUAAGGGAAUAAAACCUCCCACGUGUGGGAGCUUGUAUGUACCUUAUGAAUAAGCAUCGGCUAACUCCGUG